Molecule: ribosomal RNA, 1221 nt
Filed under: Listeria monocytogenes
Lineage: Bacteria; Bacillati; Bacillota; Bacilli; Caryophanales; Listeriaceae
Description: bacterial LSU rRNA
Rfam family: Bacterial large subunit ribosomal RNA
Source: RNAcentral
UUGGUUAAGUUAGAAAGGGCGCACGGUGGAUGCCUUGGCACUAGGAGCCGAAGAAGGACGGGACUAACACCGAUAUGCUUUGGGGAGCUGUACGUAAGCGUUGAUCCAGAGAUUUCCGAAUGGGGGAACCCACUAUCUUUAGUCGGAUAGUAUCCUUACGUGAAUACAUAGCGUGAGGAAGGCAGACCCAGGGAACUGAAACAUCUAAGUACCUGGAGGAAGAGAAAGAAAAAUCGAUUUCCUGAGUAGCGGCGAGCGAAACGGAAAGAGCCCAAACCAAGAAGCUUGCUUCUUGGGGUUGUAGGACACUCUAUACGGAGUUACAAAAGAAAGUUAUAAAUGAAGCGGUCUGGAAAGGCCCGCCAAAGACGGUAACAGCCCGGUAGUUGAAAUGGCUUUCCCUCCAGAGUGGAUCCUGAGUACGGCGGAACACGUGAAAUUCCGUCGGAAUCCGGGAGGACCAUCUCCCAAGGCUAAAUACUCCCUAGUGACCGAUAGUGAACCAGUACCGUGAGGGAAAGGUGAAAAGCACCCCGGAAGGGGAGUGAAACAGUUCCUGAAACCGUGUGCCUACAAGUAGUUAGAGCCCGUUAAUGGGUGAUAGCGUGCCUUUUGUAGAAUGAACCGGCGAGUUACGAUUUGUUGCAAGGUUAAGCGGAAAAAGCGGAGCCGUAGCGAAAGCGAGUCUGAAUAGGGCGCAUAAGUAACAGGUCGUAGACCCGAAACCAGGUGAUCUACCCAUGUCCAGGAUGAAGGUAAGGUAAUACUUACUGGAGGUCCGAACCCACGCACGUUGAAAAGUGCGGGGAUGAGGUGUGGGUAGCGGAGAAAUUCCAAUCGAACUUGGAGAUAGCUGGUUCUCUCCGAAAUAGCUUUAGGGCUAGCCUCGAGGUAAAGAGUCAUGGAGGUAGAGCACUGUUUGGACUAGGGGCCCUUCUCGGGUUACCGAAUUCAGAUAAACUCCGAAUGCCAUGUACUUAUACUCGGGAGUCAGACUGCGAGUGAUAAGAUCCGUAGUCGAAAGGGAAACAGCCCAGACCACCAGUUAAGGUCCCCAAAUAUAUGUUAAGUGGAAAAGGAUGUGGGGUUGCUUAGACAACCAGGAUGUUGGCUUAGAAGCAGCCACCAUUGAAAGAGUGCGUAAUAGCUCACUGGUCGAGUGACCCCGCGCCGAAAAUGUACCGGGGCUAAACAUAUUACCGAAACUGUGGAUGAACCUCU